RNAcentral lists this long non-coding RNA (2341 nucleotides) under Mus musculus (house mouse). Its description in RNAcentral is "long non-coding RNA chr5:122165596-122167937". The record is from RNAcentral. Lineage: Eukaryota; Metazoa; Chordata; Mammalia; Rodentia; Muridae.
GGACUGAUGAGAGGCUCGGUGGAUAAAGUGUGCUGCAUAAGCCUGACAUCUGAGUUUAAUUCCUGGAACCAGCAAAUGGGAAGAAGAGAGCCAACUCCACAAAUUUGUCCUCUGACCUACUCACCCUCAACCCCAACCCCCAUAAAAUUUAAGGGGAGGACUGGGGAAGAUAGUUCAGCCUGUAAAAUUGCUGCAGAAACAAGGCCCUGUAUUUGACCCCACCAGAAACAGUUUGGUUUGGUUUAUUUGAGACAGGGUUUAUCUCCAUAGCCCUGGCUGUCUUGGAACUCUCCAUGUAGUGCUGGGGUUAAAGGCAUGUGUCACUACCGCCAGGCUCAGAACCUAUUUUCUAAGGUGUCUGUUACCCCAGUACUAGGGGAUGGAGAGGCGGGAUCCUAGUGUAGCCAAAGAAUGAAAUAGAAAAAAAAAGACGAGAGUACACCCGAUGUCAAUUCCCAGUGGCCACAUCUUUUGUCUUACAGCCCAGUUAUAUUUGGGGGGGACUGAAGCUGCUCAGAGGGGUCCAUUCCUUGCUGGCUCCCUGUCCUAUCUCAUAAUGUUUUUUCCUGCUUUGAGGGCCCAUCCUUUUCUUGUCUUUUCCCUGAAAAACUAAUGUUGCUUUGCAUACCAUUUCAUCCCUGAUCAGCUUGUUCCUUCGGAGAAGCGGGGAUGUCUAAAGUCGUACAGGCUGAAGGGCAGCUUCCCUGAGGCUCUGGUUUCCAAGCAUGGGUACAGCUUUGCAGCCUUGAGUGGACUCUGCUUGGUCCAUAGCAGGCCUCUCUUGGGAGUGCCAUUGCUCUGCUGCUACAGGGUCAAAAGCUGUGUUUGCCUGUAGACUUUUCUGCUCUUACCUAGCUGUCAGGACAGAUGAUUUUAUGACCGAGCCUGCAAUUGGACAAAAUUUAAGCUAGUGAGAUCAGUCAGAUUUAGGAUUCUGCUAAAAGCAAAUCUGUUGACUGGUUUAUGAUAGACAGAUGCAGUCUUAAAUGGGCUGCUUAGCCUGGGUCUGCUGAACUCAAGUGAAGUGCCUGCGUCCUUUGUCUUCUGUACAAAAGAGCAGAGACUCAGAUUCUAGCUCACUGAAGGUGGUCAGGCCCCUGUGCCAGGCAGCCUUGCGGUAAGCAGGGCCUGCGGCAGCCGUUCCCUGAAGCUGCUGCCACUUGAGAGCUGUGGGGAGUUCAGAUCCUUGGCAGUUGGAGUUGUUCUUCAGUCUGCAUAAUGAUUAUCUGAUCUCGAGUAACCGGAACCCACACAGAUGUCUCCACUGCUGUCACCCUCGCCUCCUGAGGAGAGUGGGCUGUGGCCAGACCUUACCGAGGCCGUGAACAGAGAGGGCUCAGGAGCUGCCAUGACUGGUGCUAGGCUGGGAGUUGUUCUCUUUGGAUGCCUGGGAGGCCUUUUUCUUAAUAGGCACUGACUUAAUGCUGGUGUCCUAUUUGGAUAUGAAUGCCAGAGGAGAACCUCAGGGUGUGUCAUUAAUUCUUCAAGGGUGAUUUGGCUUUGGGUUUUUUUUUUUUCCCCUUUUAGCUAGGCUUUCUCACUGACUCACUAGGUAGAUUAGGCUGCCUGGUUGGCUUUCCAGAUGUGUCUGUUUCCCUCUCCAGCACUGGGAUUCUAGAUGUGUGCCAUCAAGCCUGGCUCCCCAUGCCCCACUCCCUCUUCUGUGAGUUCUGGAACUUAAACAUAAGUUCUAAUGCUUGCAAGGCAGUCUUUUAUCAGCUGGGCCAUCUAUCUAGCUUCUAGGACAUUUCUUAAAAUUGAUUUAUGUGUCUGGUGGUUGUGCCUGCAUGUAUGUUAGUGCAGUCUCAUCGGAGGCCAGAGGGGUAUUAAUAGAUCCCUAGAACUAGAGUUAGAGUUGUGACUGACUGACACGUUGCUGUCGGACUGAACCUGGGUUCUCUGCAGGAGCAGUCAGUGCUCUUAACCAGUGAGCUCAGCAGCAUUUUAAAGUGAAAUGCAGACAACACGCAGAAAUUAGGGACCAUGGAGUUGCACUUGGUCCUGAAACAUCAUUGCUGGAGACAUGUCCUGAACAUUUCUGAGGACAUACUUGGUGAUAUGACUGUGACCUUUCCCACUGCAAACUUGAGUCCAUUCUAAAAGUAGAGAGGCCUGGAAGCAGAAGGGACCGUCUUGGUACAGGGCACGAGUGUGUCCUAGGGACUCUGAAACGGCCAGAUACGGGCAGGGUCAGGGCAACCUUGGAGCUGCUGUAAAGGAGCCUAACAUAGCUUGAAGUAUACAACUGACAUUCCAGAUCUCAGUUGAGACCAUACUGGCCAGCCAGAAAACUGAUUUCAGUUACAUUUGGCCAACUCCUAUCUAACAGGUGUUUAUUAUG